RNAcentral lists this ribosomal RNA (367 nucleotides) under Paenibacillus azoreducens. RNAcentral describes it as "bacterial SSU rRNA". It matches the Rfam family "Bacterial small subunit ribosomal RNA", at positions 91 to 451 of the family's 1533-position model. Lineage: Bacteria; Bacillati; Bacillota; Bacilli; Caryophanales; Paenibacillaceae. The record is from RNAcentral.
GUUAGCGGCGGACGGGUGAGUAACACGUAGGCAACCUGCCCGUAAGACCGGGAUAACUACCGGAAACGGUAGCUAAWACCGGAUAAUUUAUCGCUUCGCAUGGAGCGGUAAUGAAAGACGGAGCAAUCUGUCACUUACGGAUGGGCCUGCGGCGCAUUAGCUAGUUGGUGAGGUAACGGCUCACCAAGGCGACGAUGCGUAGCCGACCUGAGAGGGUGAACGGCCACACUGGGACUGAGACACGGCCCAGACUCCUACGGGAGGCAGCAGUAGGGAAUCUUCCGCAAUGGGCGAAAGCCUGACGGAGCAACGCCGCGUGAGUGAUGAAGGUUUUCGGAUCGUAAAGCUCUGUUGCCAGGGAAGAACM